Molecule: ribosomal RNA, 379 nt
Filed under: uncultured bacterium
Lineage: Bacteria
Description: bacterial SSU rRNA
Rfam family: Bacterial small subunit ribosomal RNA
Source: RNAcentral
AGACGAACCGUGCGAACGUUAUUCGGAAUCACUGGGCUUAAAGCGCGUGUAGGCGGGUCGGCACGUCGGCCGCUGAAAUCCCCCGGCUCAACCGGGGAAGUGGCGCCGAUACGACCGACCUGGAGGGGGGUAGGGGGAGCCGGAACUUCCGGUGGAGCGGUGAAAUGCGUUGAGAUCGGAAGGAACGCCCGUGGCGAAAGCGGGCUCCUGGACCCCACCUGACGCUGAGACGCGAAAGCCAGGGGAGCGAACGGGAUUAGAUACCCCGGUAGUCCUGGCCGUAAACUAUGGGCACUGGGUAGGGGGGCUCGCCGAUGGGCCCCCUGCCGCAGGGAAACCGUCAAGUGCCCCGCCUGGGGAGUAUGGUCGCAAGGCUGAA